Molecule: long non-coding RNA, 993 nt
Organism: Lucilia cuprina (Australian sheep blowfly)
Lineage: Eukaryota; Metazoa; Arthropoda; Insecta; Diptera; Calliphoridae
Exons: 3
Source: RefSeq, a predicted model, not a curated record
AAGUUGAUUAGAAAUAUUAUAUUAAAAAAAUUAAAAUUAAAUGAAAUUAAAAGUCAAAAGUAAAAAACAAUUGUUUCUAUAUAUUUCUUUUAUAAGAAAAAUAAAAUAUGGAUGGCUGAAGAAUGGAAUUGCGCUAAACUACGAGAUUCUGAAACUUCCUGGUUAAGUUGGUGGUAUCCAUUGGACACAUUUUGAAACACCCACUAAAUUUAAAUUCAAAACACUGGUUUUAAAUUUGUAUAUCUUAAGAUAACAAUUUGAUAAUGUAAAACUCCUAGCCAAAUACGUUACAAAUCUGGAAGCAGGAAGAAAAUACUACACAAAUGGUUGUAAAUGCAGUAACGAAUUCUUUAACUGGGUACGAUGUUUGUUCAAGAUUCAUAGCUUAGUGUAGAGUUAUUAUAAAUUACAGUGGCCAACAAAAUUUAUAAAAAGUCGAACCCCAGAGACCAAAGUACACUUUUCUAAACUCAAAUUCCUCAUCACAUUAGGAUUGGAGACGCUAUAACAUGGCAAUCACAUCUUUAUAUAUAUUCUUGUGUCGUCUGAAAGUCCAAUCUUCGUAAUAUUUGCUUCCUACUUUGAGAUAUCAUAAUCCAAAGUAAAAAACAGCUAUAAAUUCAAAAAAUAAAUUGUCUUUAUUUUACAGCAAACAUUUCAGCGGAAAAUUCAAAAAGUAUUAUAUAUAUUUCGAUGAAAAAAAGAUAAAUCUGAGGUUAAACCUUUAUUUUAAAGUCGACAGAUCGAACACUAAGACAACAUAACAAAUUUUAUAAAUAAAGAUGUCUUCGCGCUGUUAUAACGGCUCAAAUAUGGCCAAAACGGGAUCUUUUGAUCUUAAAAACACGAUAUCUCGAAGUCAGCUUUGGAUUCAGCGCAGCUCAAUCCUUUAGAAAAAAAUAUGUUGGCCUUUGAGUUAAAAUUUGUUAGCCUGUGUUAUCUAAAACAAAGUAAUUUGUAAAACCAUUUAUUUAAAAUUUAUAAUAAAAUUAA